UUACGCUGUUAUCCCUAAGGUAAUUAUUUUUUAAUUUCUAAAAAAAGAUUAACGGUUCAUAAAUUUAUGUCACUAAAUAAAUAAAAAGUUUAUUAAAUUUUUAAAUUUCCCCAAUUAAAUAUUAAAUUUAAUUAAUAUUGAAAUAUUUAUUUAUUAUUAAAUAAAAUAAUAUUAAAUUCUAUGGGGUCUUCUCGUCUUUUAAAAAUAUUUAAGAUUUUUAACUUAAAAAUUAAAUUUAAUGGUAGUUAAAUUAAGACAGUAAAUAUUUCAUUCAAUCAUUCAUUCUAGAUUUUAAUUAAAAAUCUAAUUAUUAUGCUCUCUUUGUACAGUUAUUGAUACUGCAGCUAUUUAAAUUAAUCAUUGGGCAGAUUAGACUUUAAAUUAAUAUCGAAAAGACAUGUUUUUGUUAAACAGGCG
Molecule: ribosomal RNA, 417 nt
Filed under: Dinocampus coccinellae
Lineage: Eukaryota; Metazoa; Arthropoda; Insecta; Hymenoptera; Braconidae
Description: partial 16S ribosomal RNA
Source: RNAcentral